AACGCACAUUGCGCCCGCCAGCACUCUGGCGGGCAUGCCUGUCCGAGCGUCAUUUCGCCGCCCAGGCCGGCCGUCUGCUGCUUCGCGCGGCGGGCGGCCGGGCCCUGGUGUUGGGGCUGUUCCAGCGUGCCAGCGCGCCGCCGGGCCCCGAAAACCAUCGGCGGACCCCGCCCAGACAACCCCCCUGGCGCAGUCGCAAAAAGCUCGUCCAGGGGCGGCCGGGCAGGUGUUCCCGUCGUCAGCACGCACCCGACAGCAGGAGGGGGUUUCUCCUCUGGCUGCCGAGCACACACACCAAGACUUUGACCUCGGAUCAGGUAGGACUACCCGCUGAACUUAA
Molecule: unclassified non-coding RNA, 340 nt
Filed under: uncultured fungus
Lineage: Eukaryota; Fungi
Description: sequence contains ITS2
Source: RNAcentral